Oreochromis niloticus (Nile tilapia) is the source of this 741-nucleotide long non-coding RNA. RefSeq lists it as uncharacterized. The transcript has 2 exons. Lineage: Eukaryota; Metazoa; Chordata; Actinopteri; Cichliformes; Cichlidae. The record is from RefSeq and is a predicted model, not a curated record.
UGAAUAUAGUUUUGUUGUUGUUAAAUUCCUGUUAAACUUGGGAUCGCAACCAUGGGUUUAUCUUGAAACUUUUAUUUUGAAAAUCCACAGCGGAAGUCUGCUACUGUAAACCGGUUUUCCCUAAGCUUAUCCCGUUAGUAGCAAGGAAGCUUUUGCUGUGUUUGGGCGGAAUGCUGUUGCCUGAAACUCAUGGUUAUUCAUAUCCCAUGUUAUUGCAGGUAUGUGUAUUUUGAAACGUAUUUGAUUGAGCUGCAGACUAACUCUGUUAAGAAACACUGCUUAUUAAGUUUCACCCAGUAGAUGGCAGUAUUGUUCCAUUUAAUAUUGUACAUGAAAGGAAAUUUUGGCUUUGGUCUGGAAGUUUAUUUAUUUUCACAUGAAUGUGCAUUUAAGUGAAUUAAUUUCUCUUUUUUUUACCUAAACCACAAUGCAGUAAUAUUUUUAUUUUAUUUUCCGUAAUAAGUUUUGUUGCCAUUUUAUUUUUCAAUCAAUAUUUGGUUUUUAUUUAUUUUAAGAAAACUAAGAGUUCCACUAUACGAUCAUUAGCUUACCCGUUAGUAGCAAGGAAGCUUUUGCUGUGUUUGGGCGGAAUGCUGUUGCCUGAAACCCAUGGUUAUUCAUAUCCCAUGUUAUUGCAGAGACCCACAAGAGGGGAAUAAACCACGUCUGAGCUCUACCCAUCUCGAGUCCAGAGAGUUUUACUCUUACAGCACCGGAGAUAGAGACUGAGCGGAGUUACAC